This 450-nucleotide ribosomal RNA is filed under the name uncultured bacterium. RNAcentral's name for it is "partial 16S ribosomal RNA". It matches the Rfam family "Bacterial small subunit ribosomal RNA", at positions 354 to 796 of the family's 1533-position model. The record is from RNAcentral.
GUGGGGAAUCUUCCGCAAUGGACGAAAGUCUGACGGAGCAACGCCGCGUGAGUGAAGAAGGUUUUCGGAUCGUAAAGCUCUUUCGUUAGGGACGAACGUGCUCUUUGUGAAUAAUGAGGAGUAAUGACGGUACCUAAAUAAGAAGCCACGGCUAACUACGUGCCAGCAGCCGCGGUAAUACGUAGGUGGCAAGCGUUGUCCGGAAUUAUUGGUCGUAAAGCGCGCGCAGGCGGGAUAUCAAGUCUGUCUUAAAAGUGCGAGGCUCAACCUCGUGAGGGGACAGAAACUGGUAUUCUUGAGUGUCGGAGAGGAAAGUGGAAUUCCAAGUGUAGCGGUGAAAUGCGUAGAGAUUUGGAAGAACACCAGUGGCGAAGGCGACUUUCUGGACGAUGUCUGACGCUGAGGCGCGAAAGCUAGGGGAGCGAACGGGAUUAGAUACCCUAGUAGUCC